GAAUUAUGGACAAUGGGAGAAAGCCUGAUCCAGCAAUGCCGCGUACAGGAUGAAGGCCUUCGGGUUGUACAAUGCUUUUGUACGGAACGAAAAGCUCUAGGUGAAUACCAUGGAGUCAUGACGGUACCGUAAGAAAACGCUCUAGUAAGUUAAGUUCGAGAGCCCGCGGUAAUACGUAGGGUGCAAGCGUUAAUCGGAAGUACUGGGCGGAAAGCGUGCGCAGGCGGUUUUGUAAGACAGAGGUGGAAGCCCCGGGCUCAACCUGGGAACUGCCUUUGUGACUGCAAGGCUAAAGUACGGCAGAGGGAGGUGGAAUUCCGCGUGUAGCAGUGAAAUGGGUAUAUAUGCGGAGGAACACCGAUGGCGAAGGCAACCCCCUGGGCCUGUACUGACGCUCAUGCACGAAAGCGUGGGGAGCAAACAGG
RNAcentral lists this ribosomal RNA (425 nucleotides) under uncultured bacterium. Its description in RNAcentral is "partial 16S ribosomal RNA". It matches the Rfam family "Bacterial small subunit ribosomal RNA", at positions 359 to 776 of the family's 1533-position model. The record is from RNAcentral.